Molecule: ribosomal RNA, 253 nt
Filed under: uncultured bacterium
Lineage: Bacteria
Description: partial 16S ribosomal RNA
Rfam family: Bacterial small subunit ribosomal RNA
Source: RNAcentral
UACGUAGGCAGCGAGCGUUGUUCGGAGUUACUGGGCGUAAAGCGUGCUAGAGCGGUGGUCCAAGUCUGGUGUGAAAUCUCCCGGCUUAACUGGGAGGGUGCGCCGGAAACUGGGCCGCUGGAGUACGGGAGAGGCAAGCGGAAUUCCAGGUGUAGCGGUGAAAUGCGCAGAUAUCGGGAGGAACACCUAUGGCGAAGGCAGCUCGCUGGGACGUUACUGACGCUGAGACGCGAAAGCGUGGGGAGCAAACAGG